Molecule: ribosomal RNA, 445 nt
Filed under: Escherichia coli
Lineage: Bacteria; Pseudomonadati; Pseudomonadota; Gammaproteobacteria; Enterobacterales; Enterobacteriaceae
Description: bacterial SSU rRNA
Rfam family: Bacterial small subunit ribosomal RNA
Source: RNAcentral
AAAUUGAAGAGUUUGAUCAUGGCUCAGAUUGAACGCUGGCGGCAGGCCUAACACAUGCAAGUCGAACGGUAACAGGAAACAGCUUGCUGUUUCGCUGACGAGUGGCGGACGGGUGAGUAAUGUCUGGGAAACUGCCUGAUGGAGGGGGAUAACUACUGGAAACGGUAGCUAAUACCGCAUAACGUCGCAAGACCAAAGAGGGGGACCUUCGGGCCUCUUGCCAUCGGAUGUGCCCAGAUGGGAUUAGCUUGUUGGUGGGGUAACGGCUCACCAAGGCGACGAUCCCUAGCUGGUCUGAGAGGAUGGCCAGCCACACUGGAACUGAGACACGGUCCAGACUCCUACGGGAGGCAGCAGUGGGGAAUAUUGCACAAUGGGCGCAAGCCUGAUGCAGCCAUGCCGCGUGUAUGAAGAAGGCCUUCGGGUUGUAAAGUACUUUCAGCGG